GUCCACGCUGUAAACGAUGGGCACUAGGUGUGGGGGGUGUCGACUCCCUCCGUGCCGAAGCUAACGCAUUAAGUGCCCCGCCUGGGGGAGUACGGCCGCAAGGCUAAAAACUCAAAGGAAUUGACGGGGACCCGCACAAGCAGCGGAGCAUGUGGUUUAAUUCGACGCAACGCGAAGAACCUUACCUGGGCUUGACAUGUUCCUGACCACCCUGGAAACAGGGUUUCCCUUCGGGGCAGGAUCACAGGUGGUGCAUGGCUGUCGU
Molecule: ribosomal RNA, 265 nt
Filed under: uncultured bacterium
Lineage: Bacteria
Description: partial 16S ribosomal RNA
Rfam family: Bacterial small subunit ribosomal RNA
Source: RNAcentral